AAGCGAAACGGGCUCCGGCCCGUCGUCGCGCGGUGGUUCGCGCGGCCUGAAUGAGCAGCCAACA
This 64-nucleotide non-coding RNA is filed under the name Planctomycetes bacterium RBG_16_55_9. The record is from RNAcentral. Lineage: Bacteria; Pseudomonadati; Planctomycetota.